GUUUCCCUACGGGAGGCAGCAGUGGGGGAUAUUGCACAAUGGGGGGAACCCUGAUGCAGCGACGCCGCGUGGGUGAAGAAGCGCCUCGGCGCGUAAAGCCCUCUCGGCAGGGAAGAAGAUGACGGUACCUGACCAAGAAGCCCCGGCUAACUACGUGCCAGCAGCCGCGGUAAUACGUAGGGGGCAAGCGUUAUCCGGAUUUACUGGGUGUAAAGGGGGCGCAGACGGCAAUGCAAGCCAGGAGUGAAAGCCCG
Molecule: ribosomal RNA, 254 nt
Filed under: uncultured bacterium
Lineage: Bacteria
Description: partial 16S ribosomal RNA
Rfam family: Bacterial small subunit ribosomal RNA
Source: RNAcentral